Molecule: unclassified non-coding RNA, 956 nt
Filed under: Hevea brasiliensis (rubber tree)
Lineage: Eukaryota; Viridiplantae; Streptophyta; Magnoliopsida; Malpighiales; Euphorbiaceae
Source: RNAcentral
GACGAACUGAACAUUCUACCAGAAAACCUACUUUAGCUAUUGUCUUGGUCUAAGUUUGGCCCAUCGGCCGCCGUCGCAGCUGAAUUCAGCCAUGGCCGCAGUCGAUACCUCUAAUGUUGCAUCCUUAUCUGAGCAAUACUUACUGAAAGACCAAGAAGAGAAAUCCCCAAUGACCGCAAAACCGGUUGAAGAAACUGAGGUUAAGACCCCUUCAGCUGCUCCAGCUGAAGAAGUUCUUUCCAAAACUGAGGAGGCUCCAGUGGUUGAGAGCAUCAAAACGGCCCCUGCACCUGAGGAAAGCAGUGAAGCUGUAACUGAAUCAGCUGAAGCCUCUCCUCCUGUAGAGGCUUCCAGUGAUGAAAGCAGCGAAAGUACUGAAGAUGAGACCUCAGGAGAUCAGGAGUCUGCUGUUGAAACCCCUGCGAUUAAGCUUGAGACAGCACCUGCUGACUUCCGCUUUCCUACUACAAAUCAGUCGAGGCACUGCUUUACAAGAUAUGUUGAGUAUCAUCGGUGCACAGCUGCAAAGGGUGAAGGUGCACCUGAGUGUGACAAGUUUGCUAAGUACUACCGAUCCCUUUGCCCUGGUGAAUGGGUUGACAGAUGGAAUGAGCAGAGAGAGAAUGGAACCUUCCCUGGACCAUUAUAAAUUGCAGUACCCAAAUUGUUCUCGUCCAUGCUGCAUCUGAAUUCUCAAAUGAAUUGGGGGCUCCAUUUUUGUUUUUAAUAAAAUUUGGCGUGCUUAUUGGAUCUAGCUCAAGCCUUCAAUGAGUUUGCCGUUACAACAAAGUUAUUUUGGAUCAUCACUUGAGUUAUCCUCUUCCUAAAUACAAUUUUAUGCAUCGAUUUCCUGUAGUUUAUCAGUGAUGAAUCAUCUUGUGGAACCUGUUGACAUUUUUAUAAGUGAUGUGAACUGAUCAUUACACAAUAAUUGCUUACCAAAUAUUUGCUCAUCG